UUACCCCCAGGAAUAUCCCGUUUCCCACCACCCCCACCACCACCUGACAUGAGGCCUCCUUUACCUGUGGCAGGACUCCCUGGUCAGGCACCACCUCCUGGAAUGAUGCUUCCCAUAAUUCCUAUGGCACCACCAUAUGGCCCUCCACCUGGUCCUCCUCCAAUGAUGAGGCCUCCACUUCCACCUGGUCCUCCUCCAAACUUCCAGGAAGAGGAUCAUAUGGCAAUUAGGCCGCCUCCCCCUCCUCCGAAACCAUCAUAUGUUAAAUCUGCUGCUUCUACUGUUGUUAAAAGGCCAUUAGCGCAACACACUCCAGAACUCACUGCUAUG
RNAcentral lists this long non-coding RNA (330 nucleotides) under Phaseolus vulgaris (common bean). Its description in RNAcentral is "long non-coding RNA (PVUL_LNC004150)". The record is from RNAcentral. Lineage: Eukaryota; Viridiplantae; Streptophyta; Magnoliopsida; Fabales; Fabaceae.